CAGCCGCCGCGGUAAUACGUAGGGUGCAAGCGUUAAUCGGAAUUACCAGGCGCAAAGCGUGCGCAGGCGGUUCGUUAGACAGAUGUGAAAUCCCCGGGCUUAACCUGGGAAUGGCGCUUGUGACCGCAAAGCUAGAGUGCGGCAGAGGGGGAUGGAAUUCCGCGUGUAGCAGUGAAAUGCGUAGAUAUGCGGAGGAACACCGAUGGCGAAGGCAAUCCCCUGGGCCUGCACUGACGCUCAUGCACGAAAGCGUGGGGAGCAAACAGGAUUAGAUACCCGUGUAGUCCCUGUCUCUUAUACA
Molecule: ribosomal RNA, 301 nt
Filed under: uncultured bacterium
Lineage: Bacteria
Description: partial 16S ribosomal RNA
Rfam family: Bacterial small subunit ribosomal RNA
Source: RNAcentral